RNAcentral lists this long non-coding RNA (234 nucleotides) under Peromyscus maniculatus bairdii (prairie deer mouse). Its description in RNAcentral is "Nuclear RNase P (ENSPEMG00000004300.2)". It matches the Rfam family "Nuclear RNase P", at positions 1 to 212 of the family's 301-position model. Rfam says of the family: Ribonuclease P (RNase P) is a ubiquitous endoribonuclease, found in archaea, bacteria and eukarya as well as chloroplasts and mitochondria. Lineage: Eukaryota; Metazoa; Chordata; Mammalia; Rodentia; Cricetidae. The record is from Rfam by way of RNAcentral.
GACUCAGGAAGCUCAUCAGCGGGGCCACACUCUGAGUGCUCCUCACUCCUGGCACCCCCCUGGGAAGGUCUGAGACUGGGGCCUCCCGCGGCCCUAACCAGGCUCUCCCCUAGAGCAGGGAGGUGAGUUCCCAGAGAGCAGGACUCCACGCGUGGGCAGACUGGGCAGGAAGGCCCCCCGAGCAGUUUGUGGUUCUUUAUUGCUACUCUUAGCAUUUUCAGGUCUUGAGAAGUU